GGAAUGGUUCACAAGCAAUAAGUGGCAAUGACCCCUGAAAGGUCCCAACCACUGUAUUUACAGAUCUGGCUUACAUCAGACCUCACCUUGACCUGGCAAUGUGAACUUCUAAAGUGCUUCUGGCUUCUUUUAUUAUUUUGCAAAUGCAAUU
Long non-coding RNA from Oxyura jamaicensis (ruddy duck), 151 nucleotides. RefSeq lists it as uncharacterized. The transcript has 3 exons. NCBI's taxonomy places the organism in Eukaryota, Metazoa, Chordata, Aves, Anseriformes, Anatidae. The record is from RefSeq and is a predicted model, not a curated record.